This 250-nucleotide ribosomal RNA is filed under the name uncultured bacterium. Its description in RNAcentral is "partial 16S ribosomal RNA". It matches the Rfam family "Bacterial small subunit ribosomal RNA", at positions 524 to 773 of the family's 1533-position model. The record is from RNAcentral.
CACGUAGGGGGCAAGCGUUGUCCGGAUUUAUUGGGCGUAAAGAGCUCGUAGGUGGCUGAGUAAGUCGGGUGUUAAAUCUCCAGGCUCAACCUGGAACACCACUCGAUACUGCUCUGGCUAGAGUCCGGUAGGGGAGCGUGGAAUUCCUGGUGUAGCGGUGAAAUGCGCAGAUAUCAGGAGGAACACCAGCGGCGAAGGCGGCGCUCUGGGCCGGCACUGACACUGAGGAGCGAAAGCAUGGGUAGCAAAC